This 1052-nucleotide ribosomal RNA is filed under the name Ocellularia isidiza. RNAcentral's name for it is "eukaryotic LSU rRNA". It matches the Rfam family "Eukaryotic large subunit ribosomal RNA", at positions 87 to 1159 of the family's 3401-position model. Lineage: Eukaryota; Fungi; Ascomycota; Lecanoromycetes; Ostropales; Graphidaceae. The record is from RNAcentral.
UGGCGGAGGUAAGAGGCGCAACAGCUCAAAUUAGAAGGACUGGCCCUGGCCCGAGUUGUAAUUUGUAGAAGGUGCUUCGGGUGCGGCCCCGGUCCAAGUCCCUUGGAACAGGGCGUCGCAGAGGGUGAGAAUCCCGUACGCGGCCGACGGCCAAGCCCUUGUGGAGCCCGUUCGACGAGUCGAGUUGUUUGGGAAUGCAGCUCUAAAUGGGUGGUAAAUUUCAUCUAAAGCUAAAUAUCUGCCGGAGACCGAUAGCGCACAAGUAGAGUGAUCGAAAGAUGAAAAGCACUUUGAAAAGAGAGUCAAACAGUACGUGAAAUUGUUGAAAGGGAAGCGCUUGCAACCAGACUCGUUCGCGGGUGCUCAGCCGUCCCUCGGGGCGGUGCACUCUCCCGCGUUUCGGGCCAGCAUCGGUUUUGGCGGCCGGAUAAAGGCCCUGGGAACGUAACUCUCUUCGGGGAGUGUUAUAGCCCGGGGUGCAAUGCGGCCAGCCGGGACCGAGGACCGCGCGUUCGCUAGGAUGCUGGCGUAAUGGUUGCCAGCGACCCGUCUUGAAACACGGACCAAGGAGUCGACCAAUCUGGCGAGUUUUAGGGCAUGAAACCCUGAAGCGCAAUGAAAGUGAACGCAGGUGGGAGCCCCCGGGUGCACCAUCGACCGAUCCUGAUGUUUACGGACGGAUUUGAGUAUGAGCCCGGUUGGUCGGACCCGAAAGAUGGUGAACUAUGCGUGAAUAGGGUGAAGCCAGAGGAAACUCUGGUGGAGGCUCGCAGCGGUUCUGACGUGCAAAUCGAUCGUCAAAUUUGCGCAUAGGGGCGAAAGACUAAUCGAACUAUCUAGUAGCUGGUUCCCGUCGAAGUUUCCCUCAGGAUAGCAGCAACGAAAUCAGUCUCAUGAGGUAGAGCAAACGAUUAGAGGUCUUGGGGUUGAAAUCGACCUUAACCUAUUCUCGAACUUCGAAUAUGUGAGAAGUCCUUGUUACUUAGUUGAACGUGGACACUUGGAUGUAUCGUUGCUAGUGGGCCACUUUGGUAAGCAGAACUGCCCGAUCC